Molecule: unclassified non-coding RNA, 348 nt
Filed under: soil metagenome
Description: partial contains 5.8S ribosomal RNA, internal transcribed spacer 2, and large subunit ribosomal RNA
Rfam family: 5.8S ribosomal RNA (bases 1-120)
Source: RNAcentral
GAUGAAGAACGUAGCAAAAUGCGAUAAGUAAUGUGAAUUGCAGAAUUCAGUGAAUCAUCGAAUCUUUGAACGCACAUUGCGCCCGCUGGUAUUCCGGCGGGCAUGCCUGUUCGAGCGUCAUUCCAACCCUCAAGCCCCCGGGUUUGGUGUUGGGGAUCGGCUCUGCCCUUCUGGGCGGUGCCGCCCCCGAAAUACAUUGGCGGUCUCGCUGCAGCCUCCAUUGCGUAGUAGCUAACACCUCGCAACUGGAACGCGGCGCGGCCAUGCCGUAAAACCCCAACUUCUGAAUGUUGACCUCGGAUCAGGUAGGAAUACCCGCUGAACUUAAGCAUAUCAAUAAGCGGAGGA